Molecule: non-coding RNA, 84 nt
Organism: Lupinus angustifolius (narrow-leaved blue lupine)
Lineage: Eukaryota; Viridiplantae; Streptophyta; Magnoliopsida; Fabales; Fabaceae
Source: Rfam
GGCCUGUGAUGCAUGAAAAUAUUUGCUACUCUUGAUGGGAAUCACCCAUUUGAUGAUUUAUUUUCCACCAAGAUCUCUGAGGCU